Molecule: long non-coding RNA, 380 nt
Filed under: Ananas comosus (pineapple)
Lineage: Eukaryota; Viridiplantae; Streptophyta; Magnoliopsida; Poales; Bromeliaceae
Description: long non-coding RNA (ACOM_LNC011707)
Source: RNAcentral
CUGAUUUUAUAUUUUUGCAAAACUAGGAUACAGUUUUAGGUUUUAGAGAUUCGAUCUGAAUUGACAGUAAAUUGAGCAAAUUUCGUCUUCCUCCUCCUUCUCCACUGCUCGUUUCUUUUUUUUUUUUUUUCCUCUUACUUUCUCUCCUUCAUUCUCUUCCUUCACCACCCUCACGUCACUCUACGCUUCUUCUUCAUAUUUUGCUCACAUCUCCGUCAGUACUUGAACGUCGGCUUUGAUACGACACAUAUUAUGAAGGUGCUCCUCCAUUGUGCACUUAAAUAAUCAGUUUGAUAACCUCAACUAUAUAGUUAAUAUUAUUCUUUUUUUUCUCCCCUCCAUUCAAGUAUAAUUUUUUUCCUAAAACUUAUCAAUAAAAA